GCUAGCUGGAGCACCAUAUGUGCACCAUAUUAUCAACACAAGCCAAUCAUUUUCUUACGUCUUCUUACUAACAUACGAAUAUCGUUUAGCAAUUCAAACACUGUUCUCUUAAGCAAAACAUUCAAUAUUACAAUUUAGUUCAUUUCAUUUGGCAAUAUUAACGAGAGCUUGUUUAACCGAUACAGUGAUCGUAUAAACGGUUUCUCAUUGCCACACCAGGAGUUAUACUCAUUUCAAGUGUACAACACAAACGAAUGAGCGCCGCACAUACUAUACCCAGCUCUACUAAUAGAGCAAACCGUAUAGCCCGUGCGAAUAUACUGUAUAGUUCAACGAUUCUCUUUUGUGCUAUAUUCGUUUCACGGACUACACUCCCUUGCUAGUAGCUGGGUAUGUGUAUGUUACUGCUGUAUAAUGUAACUUUUGUGCAUUAUGAUGCUAGAUUAUUGACUUCGAACGAAAAUGUUCAAUGAAAUGUGUCCAAUCAAAUUUCGUUGGUCGCACUUGUCGUUGCUUCGAUUAGUUAAUGUGCUAUGGCUCAGACAUGAGAGCCGUCGAAAAUAAGCCGCCGGUCAAGCCGAAGUCGAGCCUUUUUGGUCGAGUCGAGCCGCCAGUCGACAAGGUGGGAAAAAACCGGCUCAGCCGACUCAAAACGGCUUGAAAAAUUAGAAAAAAAUAAGAACAGAAAAACUUUAAAACAAAAAUAUUAGGCAAUUAAUUUUUUUUUGAUUUCUGUAUUGAAGAAAUAUAACAAACUAAUUUGAACAAUCAUUUGAACUAGCAUUUACCCAACCCUUACACCCAUUCGAUAAAGACAAUAGAUAAUCAUCUAUAGUAUACAUACAAAGCCACAUUCGACAAUCUGUGUGGCUAUAGUCGAUACUCUGUGUAAAAAAUCAUUUGCGUUGAUGCACUCUUUGCAUGCGGUAACAGAUAAAAUUUAAUUUGUAUUAAUUCAAAAGUAAUUAAAUUAAGUCUGUCUUAUUAAGUGAUGUGUAAGAUAGUGCGAUUCUAAACUAUCCACGAGCAGCAGCAAAGGAUAAGACACACAGUUCGUCCGGGAAAAUAUUAUGAGUCGGUAUUGUCUAAAGGGCCGCUGGUAUUCACCAAAACCAAAUUCGAAACUAAAAUACGACUCUGGAUCUGAGAGCGAAGACGAAAAGGAUAUCAAAAAAUCGAUCAAUCGAUUGCAAUUGCUCCAAGUCAAAAACAAUCUACUUCAAUUGAACAGAAAUCAAAUUCAGAAGAAAACAUUUCAUCCAAAGAUUGUUCACCGCGAACAAAAGUCGUAGAACAAAAACCAAAGACUAAACCAAAUUUUAGAAAAAAAUUAAAUUUGUAAUUUGAGACUCGCGUUUUUAUGAUGGGACGACCAAAAAAGGAUCUUGCGGCACCUGCCGAGCCUGAAUAUGAGUACACAGAAAAUUUAAGUGUACAUGUGAAUGAACUGACGGAAAAGGGCAAUCCUAAUCUAAAUUAUUACUUCGGAAAUCUGCUCCGUGACGAUAUUGUCAUUGAUCGAAAACAUAAGUAUUGCUCGGUAUGCAUCAAAGGGCAUAUAAUCAAAAGGUAGGUGUCACUGAUAAAUGCUUUCCAAUUCAAAU
Long non-coding RNA from Bradysia coprophila, 1604 nucleotides. NCBI's taxonomy places the organism in Eukaryota, Metazoa, Arthropoda, Insecta, Diptera, Sciaridae. The record is from RefSeq and is a predicted model, not a curated record.